This 486-nucleotide ribosomal RNA is filed under the name uncultured bacterium. RNAcentral describes it as "partial 16S ribosomal RNA". It matches the Rfam family "Bacterial small subunit ribosomal RNA", at positions 30 to 507 of the family's 1533-position model. The record is from RNAcentral.
AUUGAACGCUGGCGGCAUGCCUUACACAUGCAAGUCGAACGGCAGCACGGGUGCUUGCACCUGGUGGCGAGUGGCGAACGGGUGAGGAAUACAUCGGAACAUGUCCUGUAGUGGGGGAUAGCCCGGCGAAAGCCGGAUUAAUACCGCAUACGAUCUACGGAUGAAAGCGGGGGACCUUCGGGCCUCGCGCUAUAGGGUUGGCCGAUGGCUGAUUAGCUAGUUGGUGGGGUAAAGGCCUACCAAGGCGACGAUCAGUAGCUGGUCUGAGAGGACGACCAGCCACACUGGGACUGAGACACGGCCCAGACUCCUACGGGAGGCAGCAGUGGGGAAUUUUGGACAAUGGGCGAAAGCCUGAUCCAGCAAUGCCGCGUGUGUGAAGAAGGCCUUCGGGUUGUAAAGCACUUUUGUCCGGAAAGAAAUCCUUGGCCCUAAUACGGUCGGGGGAUGACGGUACCGGAAGAAUAAGCACCGGCUAACUACGUG